RNAcentral lists this RNase P RNA (340 nucleotides) under SAR202 cluster bacterium. RNAcentral's name for it is "RNase P RNA component class A". It matches the Rfam family "Bacterial RNase P class A". Rfam says of the family: Ribonuclease P (RNase P) is a ubiquitous endoribonuclease, found in archaea, bacteria and eukarya as well as chloroplasts and mitochondria. Its best characterised activity is the generation of mature 5'-ends of tRNAs by cleaving the 5'-leader elements of precursor-tRNAs. The record is from RNAcentral. Lineage: Bacteria; Bacillati; Chloroflexota; Dehalococcoidia.
UGAGAUAGUCGAGCAGUCGCUGUAUUUUCAAGUACAGAGGAAAGUCCGAGCUCCACUGAGAGAUGAUGCCCGCUAACGGCGGGGCGGGGUGACCCGACGGAAAGUGCAACAGAAAAUAUACCGCCUCUAAAAAGGUAAGGUUGAAAUGGUGAGGUAAGAGCUCACCGCUUAUAUGGUGACAUAUAAGGCAAUGUAAACCCCAUCUGGAGCAAGGCCAAAAAGAGGAUCUAGGGCCUCUCAGACCAUAUCCACGGGUUAGCCGCUUGAGUCUAUAGGCAACUAUAGACCUAGAUAGAUGACUGCAAAUUUACAGAACUCGGCUUAUAGACUAUCUCACAAU